Molecule: non-coding RNA, 1621 nt
Organism: Ictidomys tridecemlineatus (thirteen-lined ground squirrel)
Lineage: Eukaryota; Metazoa; Chordata; Mammalia; Rodentia; Sciuridae
Source: RefSeq, a predicted model, not a curated record
GCCUGGAAACCUUCUGAAACACACAGACGCAUUCCCUCCUCAUUGUGGAGCAUCAGGAAAGUAGCUCUCCUCACUCGUCAGAGAAUAAGCAAAAGGUUAAGUCAAGUCUUGGUUGUGCUCUGAAUAUAAUUUGGACAUCACAGACUCCCUGAGAAAACUGCUGACUCUUUGAGAGAUGCCGGGUUGCCCUGCCAAUUGCCACUAAAAUGAAGCUCAUUUGGUUUGGCAGGAAAAGUUUCUACGAGGAAUGAAAGGAAAUGACAAUCCUAAAAUAAAUCAAGGACGUAAAGAAGUUGGUGUCUGGGUAAUUUACAGUGGGACACUCGACACAGCAGGAAGUGGGGAGUAGAUAGUGUCAGAGCAGCUGGAACACCUGGAGAAACCUUACACUUGGAAGAAGUCUUGGAUUCAACAUCUUUAUCACUUUACUACGUGGGAAGGCCCCUCAGAGUUGCUGCAAGUUGAGGGGUCACUUCCUCAGUGACCAUUUCACCAGUGGCCAAAUGCAAUCCUCCCUGGGGAAGGUGUGUGAUCUUGGCUGAGGCAGCAUUCUUCAUCUGAUGGUCAGUCCUGGAGAGGAAUUCGGCUGAGAGGUUUCAUGUGGUGUGUCCGAAGCUGCUGUGGGAAGGUGUGCCUCAGUCCUGCAGAGAGGAGCUUCUGACUCCCAGGGCAUCCACUAGAGACGUUUGCCUAAGUCUGGUGAGAAAUCAGGGCAAGGUUUUCAGCCUGAGAGUAAAUAUAUAUAUUUGUUUGUUUGUUUUUUUGGAAGAGAUUGUUUCUGCUGCUGCAUGGAGAGUGGAUUGGGAAGGUGGCAAGAUUGGCUCCAGAGAUAUCAGUUAGGAAACUGCAGGAGGAACUUGGCAGCAGAUCACAAUAGGUUGGACCAGGUGGUCACAAAGGAGAUAGUUACCCAAGUAACAAUAGAUCAGAUAUGAGAAAGAGACCUGGCAGUGAAUUGAUUGGAAUGAUGGAUUCAACGUAACCGCGAGUUAUUGGCUGGAGCUCUGUGAGGACGGUGAGGCCUUUUGCUGAGCUAUAUAACUGAACAGGAGAAUAGCCUUGAGUUCGAGUCAGCCAUGCUGAAUUUGAGAUAUUCAAACAGCAAAGCAAUAGGCUAUGCAAUUCUACAGCUCAGGAAAGAUGUCUGGAAAGUGGAUGUUCAUGUUACCACUGUUGCAUUCCAUCAUGAGGUGGCCUAGAAGAGACUGUGGAAUACGGAGAGAACUGAAAAAGAAGCACAGAGCAGACCCCAUAUUUCAAAAUGAAGGGAGAGAUGAGUUACUACCUAAAACAGAAGACAACUGGAAGAAUGAAGCACAACAUGACAUUUUGAAGAUUCACUAUCAUUAACGGAAACUUCAUAAGGUGGACAACUUCAGUUAUGCAAAGUUUGCCCUCCAUCCUGGGAAGAAGUACAAAUCCUUCUACGUGGAAGACAUUCCUUACUGGAGCACUAAUUAUGGUGGUGUCAGAGGACUGACCACUGAUUCAUGCCAGGACUGCUGUGACAGGCCUCCUUAGCUUCUCUCUACCGAUGGAGGGCAUUUAUUUCCAGAGCAAAAUAAUUGCUGAAAGUGCAAGAUUCUUCUCAAUAAAGUUGCUAUGACAUUCUUUGAAUGAC